GGAGAAACCGCCCCGCACCGCCCGCCGGUCGUGUGCGUCGGUUGACUCCGCCGGGUCCCCCCUUGGUGGCAGAGGCGGGAUGCUGCGGGAGGGGAAAGCCGUGGUGGGGCGUGCGGGUACGGCGGUGAAGCCCUGUGCCGUUCGGCGUCGUUCGGGCUCGGGCUGCAUUGGUGCGUCAGUGAGACUUCGCUGUGCAAGUCCUGCUGCAGUUUGCGCCCUGCGCUCCUUGUCCUGCGCGGCGGGAAGCUGAGCCACAAACAGACCUGUGCGUUUCCCUUACGUGGUGCGCUCGUCGGGCCGACCCGUCACAUCAACCCAUCGCACCCACCAUGCUGACCGCGGAGGGCGGCGUGGCAGUCCGCUCUCCGGAGCGUUCCCUGCGUCCCCGGCUCUUUGCAUGGGGCUCUACAAGCUCAGAAUGAGUCAGUGCUCCCCGAGGGGGGCUGGGGCACACUGGGGAGGCAGAGGGAUGGGGCGGCACAGUGCUGCGCUCCCACUGUGAAGAACUGUGGGCACACCUGCAGAGCGUCGUCCCUCAUCCAGCAAGGCAAGAGUAUCGCCCUUGGACUGGAGCAAAACCAUCCAAGCCCAUAAAGACAAAGCAAGGCUUCAUUAUCCCAGAUGACCAUUUUGUCCAGGAGACAAGUUACAAGGCGGACUAUAAGCAGAUCCCGGAGGUGAAGACCAGGUUCUCCCCCAACCCUUCUGCUGUUUUCCAGGCGCCGUCGCGGAUCCUCAACGUGUGACGCCGGGCCCUCCUCGCGCCGGGCAGCGCCACAGCGGUGCUUCCGACCGGACGUGUCACUAUGCAAUCUUCAGGAGGAGCGCUGGGAUCAGAGAACCGAUGUCAGCAGGAGCAGCUCCUGGGGCUGGGCGCUCUCCUUCUGCGAUUGUGCAGAUUGUGAAGCGCUCCAUUCAGAGCCAGCAAACACGCUCCGCUGUGCGCAGCGGCAGGGAGAAGUCACAAACAGGAGCGAGAACUGAUAGCAAACCCCCGGAGCAGCACGGAGCAGGGAGCACCUGCCUGACUUGUCAGCUUGCAGAGCUGCCUCCUGCACGCACCUCAGCACCAGAGCUCAGCACGGGAGGGCUGCUCUGCUCCGGACCCACAGGGUUGCUGGAGCCGCUGGCAGCUCCGCAGCGGCUGCGUUGGGGGGCUGUGUGUGCAGAGCGGUGAGCGCACGCUGCGCUUCGGAGGGUGUAGAAUACUGGUGGGUUGGAUGUAAAUAUUGCACCCGGAUUUUACCUAAAGCAGUUUGUGAUCCUUUAAGGAAGAGGACGUGCUUCUACUUUUAAUAAAUGUUAACUCUUUGCAUACGCAAGGUGGAAAGUGUUGCCUUGAAAUGCCUACGUUUCUGCCUGCCUAUCGGUGAUGUUAAUGUUAGUGGCUAGGAGCAACCAGAAGUGAAUGUUACUUAGAAACUCUUCUUAAAGAAAAACAUUAACAUGGAAUGUAUGACACCCCUCAUUGCUAA
Molecule: long non-coding RNA, 1475 nt
Filed under: Gallus gallus (chicken)
Lineage: Eukaryota; Metazoa; Chordata; Aves; Galliformes; Phasianidae
Description: long non-coding RNA NONGGAT009153
Source: RNAcentral